This 891-nucleotide long non-coding RNA is filed under the name Homo sapiens (human). Its description in RNAcentral is "non-protein coding lnc-CHMP7-4:1". The record is from RNAcentral. Lineage: Eukaryota; Metazoa; Chordata; Mammalia; Primates; Hominidae.
AAUUUUCUGUUUUCAUGUCUUCCUGUGGGUUACUUGAAAAUUUCUUUUAGAAUUUUGCUUUGAUUUUUCUUUUUUUCCUUUGUUUUUUUUUUGCUUUGAUUUGUCUAUUACUUUCAAAAAAUAUCUAUUUAUAUCCUUUUUAAGUGGUUGCUCUAGGUAUUACAUGACUUAUCACAAUCUUUUGGUGUUGUCAUUUUACCAGUUUGAGUGAAGUCCAGAAAGCUUACCUCCCUUUACAUCCUUUUACCUUCCCCCAUUUAUAAUUGUCUUAAAUAUUUUCUUGACAUACAUUUAGAACCACAUUAAAGUUAUAUUUUUUAACUAGCAAACAUAAUGUAGAAGAUUAAGAAGAGAAAAAAUCUAUUGUAAUUACCCAUAUUUUUGCCUACUUUGUUCUUUCUUCCUUCCUGAUAUUCAAAUAUUUUAAAAAAUUGUUUCUGUUUAGAGAACUUCUUUUAGCCAUUCUUUCACGAUAGGUCUCCUGCCAACAAAUUCUCUUAGUUUUCCUUCAUCUGAGAAUACCUUGAUUUUCUCUUCAUUGCUGAAGCAUAUUUUCAUGGGAUAUAGGAUUCUGGGUUAGCAGUUGUUUUCAUUUGGCACUUUCAAAAUCUUAUAAAGAAAACCCAGGAAACUUAGCACUUUGUCAUUCCUUGAGCCGUGAGGUCGCUCGCUGACCUGCUUUCUUCUCUCCACCUUUCAGAGUCUUCUUAUGCUUGUUUUACAUAUGAUAUCCAGGAAGUUUAGUUGUAUUUAGUGGAAGGAAUAGGAAAAAGUAUGUUUUUUCCAUCUUCUACCAAGUCUUGAUUUCCUUUUAAAACGCAUUAAAUGGAGCACCCAGCGGCUAUGAAGCAAGACCUUCCUAUGUGCCAUACUCAGCAACCCUCACUGAUU